This 253-nucleotide ribosomal RNA is filed under the name uncultured bacterium. Its description in RNAcentral is "partial 16S ribosomal RNA". It matches the Rfam family "Bacterial small subunit ribosomal RNA", at positions 524 to 776 of the family's 1533-position model. The record is from RNAcentral.
UACGAAGGGGGCUAGCGUUACUCGGAUUGACUGGGCGUAAAGGGCGCGUAGGCGGUUCGUACAGUCAGACGUGAAAUUCCUGGGCUCAACCUGGGGGCUGCGUUUGAUACGUGCGGGCUUGAGUUCGGAAGAGGGUCGUGGAAUUCCCAGUGUAGAGGUGAAAUUCGUAGAUAUUGGGAAGAACACCGGUGGCGAAGGCGGCGACCUGGUCCGAUACUGACGCUGAGGCACGAAGGCCAGGGGAGCAAACAGG